UACGGAGGAUGCAAGCGUUAUCCGGAAUCAUUGGGUUUAAAGGGUCCGUAGGCGGCCAAAUAAGACAGUGGUGAAAGCCCAUCGCUCAACGAUGGAACGGCCAUUGAUACUGUUUGGCUUGAAUUAUUAGGAAGUAACUAGAAUAUGUAGUGUAGCGGUGAAAUGCUUAGAGAUUACAUGGAAUACCAAUUGCGAAGGCAGGUUACUACUAAUAUAUUGACGCUGAUGGACGAAAGCGUGGGGAGCGAACAGG
This 253-nucleotide ribosomal RNA is filed under the name uncultured Flavobacterium sp. RNAcentral's name for it is "partial 16S ribosomal RNA". It matches the Rfam family "Bacterial small subunit ribosomal RNA", at positions 524 to 776 of the family's 1533-position model. Lineage: Bacteria; Pseudomonadati; Bacteroidota; Flavobacteriia; Flavobacteriales; Flavobacteriaceae. The record is from RNAcentral.